UUGGAGGGCAAGUCUGGUGCCAGCAGCCGCGGUAAUUCCAGCUCCAAUAGCGUAUAUUAAAGUUGUUGCAGUUAAAAAGCUCGUAGUUGAAUUUCGGGAUCAAUGGAUUGGUCAUGCCGUUGGUAUGUACUGAUUUUAUUGAUUCUCACCUUCUAAAGAAUCAUAAUGCCAUUAAUUUGGUGUUGUGAGGAAUUAGGACUGUUACCUUGAAAAAAUUAGAGUGUUUAAAGCAGGCUUACGCUUGAAUACAUUAGCAUGGAAUAACGAAAUAGGACAUCGCAUUCUAUUUUGUUGGUUUCUAGGAUCGAUGUAAUGAUUAAUAGGGAUAGUUGGGGGCAUUAGUAUUCAAUUGUCAGAGGUGAAAUUCUUGGAUUUAUUGAAGACUAACUACUGCGAAAGCAUUUGCCAAGGAUGUUUUCAUUAAUCAAGAACGAAAGUUAGGGGAUCGAAGACGAUCAGAUACCGUCGUAGUCUUAACCAUAAACUAUGCCGACUAGGGAUCGGAUGAUGUUAAUUUUUUAAUGACUCAUUCGGCGCCUUACGGGAAAC
RNAcentral lists this ribosomal RNA (549 nucleotides) under uncultured Glomus. Its description in RNAcentral is "SSU rRNA". It matches the Rfam family "Eukaryotic small subunit ribosomal RNA", at positions 548 to 1098 of the family's 1831-position model. Lineage: Eukaryota; Fungi; Glomeromycota; Glomeromycetes; Glomerales; Glomeraceae. The record is from RNAcentral.